CUCAUUAUUCAAGUUUUUCUUA
This 22-nucleotide microRNA is filed under the name Schmidtea mediterranea. RNAcentral's name for it is "Sme-Mir-71-o3_3p* (star (passenger))". Lineage: Eukaryota; Metazoa; Platyhelminthes; Tricladida; Dugesiidae. The record is from RNAcentral.